RNAcentral lists this transfer RNA (84 nucleotides) under Arenimonas donghaensis DSM 18148 = HO3-R19. It matches the Rfam family "tRNA". From Rfam's summary of the family: Transfer RNA (tRNA) molecules are approximately 80 nucleotides in length. Their secondary structure includes four short double-helical elements and three loops (D, anti-codon, and T loops). The record is from Rfam by way of RNAcentral. Lineage: Bacteria; Pseudomonadati; Pseudomonadota; Gammaproteobacteria; Lysobacterales; Lysobacteraceae.
GCCCGGGUGGCGAAACUGGUAGACGCAUGGGACUUAAAAUCCCCCGGCCGCAAGGCCAUGUGGGUUCGACCCCCACCCCGGGCA